CCUACGGGAGGCUGCAGUGGGGAAUAUUGCACAAUGGGGGAAACCCUGAUGCAGCGACGCCGCGUGCGUGAAGAAGUAUCUCGGUACGUAAAGCUCUAUCAGCAGGGAAGAAAAUGACGGUACCUGACUAAGAAGCCCCGGCUAACUACGUGCCAGCAGCCGCGGUAAUACGUAGGGGGCAAGCGUUAUCCGGAUUUACUGGGUGUAAAGGGAGCGUGGGCGGCAGCCCAAGGCUGGAGUGAAAUCCCGGGGCUUAAACCCGGAAAUGCUUUGGAAACUGUGCGGCUGGAGUGCAGGAGGGGUAAGCGGAAUUCCUAGUGUAGCGGUGAAAUGCGUAGAUAUUAGGAGGAACACCGGUGGCGAAGGCGGCUUACUGGACUGUAACUGACGUUGAGGCUCGAAAGCGUGGGGAGCAAACAGGAUUAGAUACCCCUGUAGUC
RNAcentral lists this ribosomal RNA (440 nucleotides) under uncultured bacterium. Its description in RNAcentral is "partial 16S ribosomal RNA". It matches the Rfam family "Bacterial small subunit ribosomal RNA", at positions 338 to 795 of the family's 1533-position model. The record is from RNAcentral.